This is a long non-coding RNA of Lynx canadensis (Canada lynx), 457 nucleotides long. RefSeq lists it as uncharacterized. The record is from RefSeq and is a predicted model, not a curated record. NCBI's taxonomy places the organism in Eukaryota, Metazoa, Chordata, Mammalia, Carnivora, Felidae. The transcript has 3 exons.
GAUAACCUGCUCGGCUCGAGGGGCCCCUAGCUCAGCGGGCCCGGGGCAGUGUCCCCCUGGCCACUGUGUCCCCGAGACCCAUCACAGGGCCCGGAAGACGGAAGGCUCCCUUCCCAGCGGGGCCGGAACCCCAUAGAAGCAGACCAGUGUUCCUCAUCCCCGCACCGCGUGUGGUCAGGCCUCAGGGCCACCAGGAAGAGCGGGCCCCAGACGAGCAGAGGGGGCAGGGAGGAAGUCUCCAUGGAAGAUGCCAGGAAAGUUGGGAGAAUACAGGGGCAUCCGGGAAGGCUUCCCAGAGGAGGGUACCCACCGUGUGCAUGCACACCGACGUGUGUCCGCAGUCGACCUGCUUACUCAAGCUCCCUGCUCCUGCCCCCAGCCCCCCGGUGAGAGCUUCCUGCGCCGACCCCACGGGGAGCCGGUGCUUUGAGAGCGAUCUCCCUGUCUCCUCACUUGG